ACGGUAGAUACUUUCGGGUAGUUGAGAGUGGCGCACGGGUGCGUAACGCGUAUGAAACCGACCUUGUACGGGGGAAUAGCCCGGAAAAAUUGGGAUUAUUACCCCAUAGAAUUACCAGAUGGAAUCUGAAAGCAAUUAGAGAUUUAUCGGUGCAAGAUGGGCAUGCGUGACAUUAAUUAGUUGGUAGGGUAACGGCCUACCAAGACUAUGAUGUCUAGGGGUUCUGAGAGGAUGAUCCCCCACGCUGGUGCUGAGAUACCGACAAUACUCCUACAGGAGGCAGCGGUAAGUAAUAUUGGUCGAUGGGCGAGAGCCUGAACCAGCCAUGCCGGGUGCAAGAAGACCGUCUUCUGGGUUGUAAACUGCUUUUAUACGGAAAGAAAAGACCCUUGCAAGGGAGAUUGCCGGUACCGCCAUGAAUAAUAACCGGCUAACUCCUUGCCGCCAGCCGCCGUAAUACUAAGGGUGCAGGCGUUGUCCGGAUUAAUUGGUGUUUAAAGGAUGCGGAGGCGGCCCUUUAAUUCAACGGUGAAAGACUGCACCUUAUCUGUCUAACUGCCAUUGAUGCUGCAGGCCUUGAGUGUACUAGAGGAAGGCGAAAUUUAUGCUGUAGCGGCGAAAUGCUUAGAUACCAUAAAGAACACCGAUAGCGGAGGCAGCUUACUGCAGUACAACUGAUGAUGAUGAAGCAAAGCAUGGGGAGCGAACAAGAUUAUAUACCCUGCUGAUCCACGCCCCACACAAUGAUUACUCUAUGUUGGUGAUACACCUGUCAGCGUCCCAGCGAAAAUCAUUAAGUAAUCCACCUGGCGAG
Molecule: ribosomal RNA, 814 nt
Filed under: uncultured Bacteroidota bacterium
Lineage: Bacteria; Pseudomonadati; Bacteroidota
Description: bacterial SSU rRNA
Rfam family: Bacterial small subunit ribosomal RNA
Source: RNAcentral